GGACUCAAUGCCGAUGCAAUGAAUCAUGGCCUGCGCAGCCCUGCGCCUGCCCAGCCCUCUGUGCGGGUCCAGAGAGAGCCGGUGCAGUUGCCAACAGGCUCCAUAGAAAUGAAAACAUCAUUUUCCUUCCGUCCAUUCCGGGCAGUCUGCAACUGCCUCUGAUAAUUAAUCCACAGAGAGAAAUCAAUACUACAACUGCUUGAAGAAGAAUCAACCCGUAGCAAAAUAAACUUUCCACCGAUGCAGUGGCCGGUCCUGCAGGCACCAGCAUCUCUGCAGAUGUGGAUCUAAACAAACGCUGCUUUCUCUGUGCACCAACCCGCCAGGCGGGAGUCAAUUACCCUGAACGCGCCGCGGACAGCUGUGGUUAUAAUGCAGCCUUUGUUCUCCAGAGGUGACUGGUGGGUUUGGGUGCAGAGAACAGACCUGAUGGUGGGGAGAGAUGGGAAGAAAUCGCUGCAGAUGCGGGUGACUGGGGAACGAUGACGAUAAUUCAGCCCAGGCCAGCCCUCGCCUCAGCUGAUGUCACCCACCGUGCAUGCUGGGACAGGCUGAGGAUACGGAUACGUGUUCACCAGGAGCAAGGCAGGGCCCACGCGCCCCACGAAGACUGAACCACCAGUGAGACCAGUGAGACCAAAGUCGCAGAUCCAGGCUCACGCGGGACCCCCAGACAAGGGUCACAGCCCACGUGGCAGGGAUUCUCACGCACGUCCUGGGAGCUCCAUGCCUGCAGGAGCUGGCAGUUCAAAUUAUUUCAGACAAGACCCCAAGACAAAUGGCUGUAUGAUAGAGUCACACAGGCGCACGAGUGGCAGCGUCAGGGGCCGGAGCUGCUGUGACGCCAGCCGGAGGGUGGAUGGGCAGGGCCCAGAGUCCUGCAGGCGUCGCUGGCCAAGGACCGAAAGCCAGGCCGUCCAGAGCCCACAGGCCCCUGCGCCUCCCGAGAGUCCGCAGGCCGUGAAGAGCUGGAGCAGAGGCUUACGAAGCCUCAUCUGCCCCGUCUGCAAGGCCACUUUCGCACCUCUCAGACGCGUGUUUGGCCUUCUCCUGCAAAGAGCACACAGUCUAUCGCCUGUGGAGAAGGAAGUGGCGAACUGGGCUGAGCCGGGACCCGUGGUUCCCAUUCCACACCCUCUGGGUGAAUGAUGCCAAGGCCGGGACGGAGCAGGGUCCUGAGGUGGCCACCGGGCUGGCACUGUGGGCACCAUGCCCUUGCGCAUGGGCUCUGGGAAGAGCAGGAGGAGCAAGGAGGCGGGUGCCUCAGGAACUGCUGCAGGCGGAGCCUAAGGGACAGGCGGCCAGAGUGGUGAGAGGGCCGGGGUGCACGGAGCGCUCAGCGACUUGGGGUCCAGCGUGGGAGGAGCUCAGAGCGGGACAGCGGGGACCUCAAAAGCGGCGCCUUCACAGAAGAAGCAUCCACUCUGCUCGUGCAGCGGCUGGGUGAGGAGCAGGCCCCGGGCGCCCUACGGAGUGGAGUCUGAGGGGCGGGACUGUCCGCCCUGGACUCCGACAAGAGGCGCACAGGUCCCUGCACUGUCCCCUCCUCUCCUCCCCUCCCCAGUGAGCACAGAUGCCGUGAGUUUACUAUGCACGAACUUGGUUACUUUGUCGUCCUGGGAAACCACCCAGGAGCACUGUUUGCCCACCUCUCCGUCUACACAGCCCCAAGGGACAGAGUCCCAGGGGCCCCGGGGCCACCCCAGCCAGGAGAGGACCCAGGAGGGGACCCAGAUGCCUCCGGAUCCUUCUCAGUCCCCGGACCCCCGGGCCAGGACCCCAUGUGCCGCUGGGGAGGGAGGCGCAGGCCCCAGCCCCUUCCUUCUCUGCUCUGCUCUGAAAGCAGCUCCUAAGAGUUUGUCCUGCAGCGUCCUGGUAGGGUCCUCACUGCCCCGCAGAUAGGUCUGGGCAGGACAGGUUCAGUUCUGCUCUGCAGCCCGCGGAGGCAGCCUGAGCUGCUGUGUGGAGUGUGCGUGACGGCCCACAAUGAACAGCGACUGGUUACACGCCUAAAUUCACCUCCCCUAGCCUGGCAGGCAGCACGGACAGCGCACACGGCUCCCCUCAGGCUGCCCCGGGCCAUCCCGGUCUCCACGUGCCCACCUGCAGUCAGCCAGGCUCCCGCCCUGACCCAGGACAGGGACCGAGUGCAGCUCUGUGGGAUCCAUGUGACCAGAAGUCACCAAGCUGCUGACCCGUCACUAGCACACGGACGAGCCCUUUAUGUUCAUGGGAGAAACAUGAGAGUGUGAGAUUUCCACAUCCCGCGUUGGAAGGCUUUUGUGGUUGCUGUUGCUGAGCCAUAAAUCACCAAGCAGCAGCUGCACUCCAAAGCCCAGCCCCGUGGCCCUUGGUCCUCUGUGCAGGGUCCUCCGUCCCCAUCUGAGGCCAGAGAGGGAGGCCAGGGUCCAGGCUUGCUCCCCGGCAGGACUCUUGACUGCGGCCCCCUCCCUGCUGUCACCAGGCUCUGCACGGGGCACCAAGCUGGAGGCCUCCUCAGUCCUUGGCCAUGGGAGCCACCCCACGUGGCUGCUGCUUGGCUCACAAGGAGCGUCUGUCUCCAGGACACAAGGAUGUUUGACCACAGAGGGGCCUGUGCCCCCUUGCCACUGCCCACCUCCUGGAAAGCAGUGGCGGUCAGCAGGGGACGGGACGGGGCAGCUUCCACACAUCUGCCCUGUGUUUGGGAGGACAUGGGGUUUCUAGGGUCAGAUGCUCCUCCUCACCUGAGGGGACCCUGCCCAGGGGUCACUCAGACGACUGACCCCUCCCAUGAGCCCACGCGGCCAACAGGAAGCUCGCAGCUUCGUGUCCAGAAGCUGAGCUGUGGGGGCCACGGCUCCAUCAGAAACAGACCUGGUGACAGAGCACAGGCCCCGCCAGGCAGCCGGGGGUGCAGCGCAUGGGCAGCCGUCCCAGCCCGUCUCCUGUGUCCUGGCUGCACCCCCGCCAGGCGGCCACCCACGGGGUCUGACCGAGUCCCCGGCUGUCCUGCUCCUCAUCUCUGCCUCCCUGGCCAUGGCUGGCUGGUCAUGGGGUUUCUCUUGGUCACAGUGGUGCCAGGGGCUCCCAGGCCCAUGGGGGCCUCACCCAUCCUCCUGGCCGUCAGGCGCCCGCUUGAGGAGCCCAGGUGUGCCUGUCUCAUGCUGGACCAGACACAGCCUGGGAACAGAUCCCUCAGCCACUUCCCCCACUCGGGCGCUCUGCGAUGUCUCCUCUGUCAGCCUCGCACAGCCGCUGCCCCCACUGCAGUCCUCACUGGACUGUGCCCUCCCCAGGCUCCCCUCGCCUCCGCAGGCCAUGUGACCGGGCAGUGUGGAAUGCUGUUUGUCCCCAUGCCCACCCUGCACCUACCCACUCUCACUGCCGUCCAAACCGUCAGCCCCGGAGCAAGCGCUCUUCCGACAGAGUCCCGGUUCUGCUCGUUGCUCACUGGGCUCCCACUGCUGAGGGGCUCCUGCCCUGUGCCCACCUGCCUGUGGAAAGCAGGGCAAGUAGAGGGACCCGCCUCUGCCCUGGCCAGGACCUCACCAGUAGCAGCCAGCGAAGCUCCUUGCCCACAUCCAUAGCACUGGCCACUGCCAGUCAGUCAGGCACUGUCACCACAGCGCAGGCCACUGCAGGUCUAGGAGGCCCUGGGCGCGCAGUGCCCGCAGGCUGACGCUUCUCCCUGGGAAGGGGGGCAAUGCAGACAUGGGCACACACUGUCCACACUGUGUCCUGGGGCUGGCACCCCACCCUCCCCAGCCCCACAGCCUGUGACAGUGCAGCGCCCCGUCAGUCCCUUCAUGUCCUGGGAACAGCACACCCUUCUCCCCAGAGAGCCGGACACAGUCCUGUCCCCGGAGCCAACCGUGGAGCUUCCAGGUGCCCUGCGUCACACAGGCCUCUGAGAAGCGAGUCUGCAUGCCUCCAGGGCCUGCUCUGUCCUGGGCAGCUGUGACCCUAAGGGCCCUGGUGGGGCUCUUGCAAGGGGCACGGAAGGAACGCUUUCCACUCCCAGAUCCUGGGUGCCUCCACCCGGGGUCACUGCUGGCCAGCUCCCGGGACUCAGCAGGCAGGUGUGUGUGCACAGGGGUGGACUGCAGGGUGUGAGAAGGUGGGGGGGCGGUGUGUGGGACUCGGGUAUUUGGGUGUGCGUGAGUGUGUGCACUGUAUAGCUGUGCGUGUGUCACGUGGGUGUGAGUGCAAGUGUUUCUGAGGAGGAGCUGCUCCUCCUGGCAGUGUGAGCCGUGGCUCUCCAGGCACACUCUCGUGCACGGGUUUGGAGAGCAGGGGCCUCUCCAUGCCAUACCU
RNAcentral lists this long non-coding RNA (4296 nucleotides) under Heterocephalus glaber (naked mole-rat). Its description in RNAcentral is "lncRNA (ENSHGLG00100049288.1)". The record is from RNAcentral. Lineage: Eukaryota; Metazoa; Chordata; Mammalia; Rodentia; Bathyergidae.